GAUGAACGCUGGCGGCGUGCCUAAUACAUGCAAGUCGAGCGAACAGACGAGGUGCUUGCUCCUUCGACGUUAGCGGCGGACGGGUGAUUAACACGUAGGUAACCUACCUAUAAGACUGGGAUAACUUCGGGAAACCGGAUCUAAUACCGGAUAAUAUUUCGAACCGCAUGGUUCUAUAGUGAAAGAUGUCUUUGCUAUCCCUUAUAGAUGUCCCUGCGCCGUAUUAGCUAGUUGGUAAGGUAACGGCUUACCAAGGCAACGAUACGUAGCCGACCUGAGAGGGUGAUCGGCCACACUGGAACUGAGACACGGUCCAGACUCCUACGGGAGGCAGCAGUAGGGAAUCUUCCGCAAUGGGCGAAAGCCUGACGGAGCAACGCCGCGUGAGUGAUGAAGGUCUUCGGAUCGUAAAACACUGUUAUUAGGGAAGAACAAACGUGUAAGUAACUGUGCACGUCUUGACGGUACCUAAUCAGAAAGCCACGGCUAACUACGUG
RNAcentral lists this ribosomal RNA (497 nucleotides) under uncultured bacterium. RNAcentral's name for it is "partial 16S ribosomal RNA". It matches the Rfam family "Bacterial small subunit ribosomal RNA", at positions 28 to 507 of the family's 1533-position model. The record is from RNAcentral.